This 369-nucleotide long non-coding RNA is filed under the name Homo sapiens (human). RNAcentral describes it as "non-protein coding lnc-OGT-1:1". Lineage: Eukaryota; Metazoa; Chordata; Mammalia; Primates; Hominidae. The record is from RNAcentral.
AUACAGUUGAUAAACUUUUUUAGACGCCUUUGGCAUUUAUGUUUAAAACGACACCACCUGCUAAGUAACAAACACUCUUCUUAAUCGCGGUGGCAAAAACGUAUCCGUCCCGUGUGUGUUUGUUUUUACCCUUCCGCUACACUCUUAAGAAACUUGGCCGCUUCCGCCCCAGAGAGUGCCCUAACCACGAGUCGGGUUGACAGGGCUGCUCGCAUGCGCGGUCUCCACCGUGGUGUUUGUCGCAAUGGGCGCUGCGCGGAGGACUACAUGGAAUCUCGACUUUGCAGCUUGAAGUCAUUUUGUUGGCGGCGCUGGUUACCGGCUACCUCCGCGCGGGCACUUGAUUGUAACAGAAAGUAGUUCCGGCCC